UUUAGGCAAACGCUGCAUAUUAAUUAUGUAGAGGAAAGUCCAUGCUCACAAAAGCUGAGAUGCUUUUAGUGUUUGUGCUUAGGAAAAAAAUAACCUAAGGUAAGAUUAAUUCUUAACGGCGCGUCUUUAACCUAAACUUUAUAGCAUGGUUAAAGAUGCAUAAAGUGCCAUAGAGACGAGUCUUAUUAGAAAUAAUAGGAGUGGAACGGGUAAACCCCACAAGUGAGAAACCCAAAUUUUGGUAGGGGAAUCUAAAUAGGAAAAUGAACCGAUUUUAGAAUCAUUAUUGAUAGAUAAAUGUUUGCCACCGAAUUUUCGGUACAGAACAUGGCUUAUU
This 337-nucleotide RNase P RNA is filed under the name pig gut metagenome. RNAcentral's name for it is "Bacterial RNase P class B". It matches the Rfam family "Bacterial RNase P class B". Rfam says of the family: Ribonuclease P (RNase P) is a ubiquitous endoribonuclease, found in archaea, bacteria and eukarya as well as chloroplasts and mitochondria. The record is from RNAcentral.